AUUGAACGCUGGCGGCAGGCCUAACACAUGCCAGUCGAGCGGAUGAAGGGAGCUUGCUCCUGGAUUCAGCGGCGGACGGGCGAGUAAUGCCUAGGAAUCUGCCUGGUAGUGGGGGAUAACGUCCGGAAACGGGCGCUAAUACCGCAUACGUCCGAGGGAGAAAGGGGGGGAUCUUCGGACCUCACGCUAUCCGAUGAGCCUAGGUCGGAUUAGCUAGUUGGUGGGGUAAAGGCCUACCAAGGCGACGAUCCGUAACUGGUCUGAGAGGAUGAUCAGUCACACUGGAACUGAGACACGGUCCAGACUCCUACGGGAGGCAGCAGUGGGGAAUAUUGGACAAUGGGCGAAAGCCUGAUCCAGCCAUGCCGCGUGUGUGAAGAAGGUCUUCGGAUUGUAAAGCACUUUAAGUUGGGAGGAAGGGCAGUAAGUUAAUACCUUGCUGUUUUGACGUUACCAACAGAAUAAGCACCGGCUAACUUCGUG
RNAcentral lists this ribosomal RNA (483 nucleotides) under uncultured bacterium. RNAcentral describes it as "partial 16S ribosomal RNA". It matches the Rfam family "Bacterial small subunit ribosomal RNA", at positions 30 to 507 of the family's 1533-position model. The record is from RNAcentral.